RNAcentral lists this ribosomal RNA (492 nucleotides) under uncultured bacterium. RNAcentral describes it as "partial 16S ribosomal RNA". It matches the Rfam family "Bacterial small subunit ribosomal RNA", at positions 29 to 507 of the family's 1533-position model. The record is from RNAcentral.
AGUGAGCGCUGGCGGUAGGCCUAACACAUGCAAGUCGAACGGCAGCACAGUAAGAGCUUGCUCUUACGGGUGGCGAGUGGCGGACGGGUGAGGAAUACAUCGGAAUCUACUUUUUCGUGGGGGAUAACGUAGGGAAACUUACGCUAAUACCGCAUACGACCUACGGGUGAAAGCAGGGGAUCUUCGGACCUUGCGCGAUUGAAUGAGCCGAUGUCGGAUUAGCUAGUUGGCGAGGUAAAGGCCCACCAAGGCGACGAUCCGUAGCUGGUCUGAGAGGAUGAUCAGCCACACUGGAACUGAGACACGGUCCAGACUCCUACGGGAGGCAGCAGUGGGGAAUAUUGGACAAUGGGCGCAAGCCUGAUCCAGCCAUACCGCGUGGGUGAAGAAGGCCUUCGGGUUGUAAAGCCCUUUUGUUGGGAAAGAAAAGCAGCAGGUUAAUACCCCGCUGUUCUGACGGUACCCAAAGAAUAAGCACCGGCUAACUUCGUG